CCUACGGGUGGCUGCAGUGGGGAAUAUUGGACAAUGGGGGGAACCCUGAUCCAGCCAUGCCGCGUGUGUGAAGAUGGCCCUCGGGUUGUAAAGCACUUUCAGUGAGGAAGAACGCCUGGUGGUUAAUACCCAUCAGGAAAGACAUCACUCACAGAAGAAGCACCGGCUAACUCCGUGCCAGCAGCCGCGGUAAUACGGAGGGUGCGAGCGUUAAUCGGAAUUACUGGGCGUAAGCGCGCGUAGGUGGCUUGAUAAGCCGGUUGUGAAAGCCCCGGGCUCAACCUGGGAACGGCAUCCGGAACUGUCAAGCUAGAGUGCAGGAGAGGAAGGUAGAAUUCCCGGUGUAGCGGUGAAAUGCGUAGAGAUCGGGAGGAAUACCAGUGGCGAAGGCGGCCUUCUGGACUGACACUGACACUGAGGUGCGAAAGCGUGGGUAGCAAACAGGAUUAGAUACCCUAGUAGUC
This 464-nucleotide ribosomal RNA is filed under the name Vreelandella stevensii. RNAcentral describes it as "partial 16S ribosomal RNA". It matches the Rfam family "Bacterial small subunit ribosomal RNA", at positions 338 to 795 of the family's 1533-position model. Lineage: Bacteria; Pseudomonadati; Pseudomonadota; Gammaproteobacteria; Oceanospirillales; Halomonadaceae. The record is from RNAcentral.